AAUCAACGCUGGCGGCGUGCCUCAGACAUGCAAGUCGAACGCGAAAGUCCCCUUCGGGGGAUGAUUAGAGUGGCGCACGGGUGAGUAACACGUAGGUAAUCUACCUUCGAGUGGGGAAUAACUCAGGGAAACUUGAGCUAAUACCGCAUAAUGCAGCGGCACCACAUGGUGACAGUUGUUAAAGCAUUUAUGCGCUUGAAGAGGAGCCUGCGGCGGAUAGCUAGUUGGUAAGGUAAUGGCUUACCAAGGCUACGAUCUGUAACCGGCCUGAGAGGGCGGACGGUCACACUGACACUGAAUAACGGGUCAGACUCCUACGGGAGGCAGCAGUCGGGAAUUUUGGGCAAUGGGCGAAAGCCUGACCCAGCAACGCCGCGUGAAGGAU
This 385-nucleotide ribosomal RNA is filed under the name uncultured bacterium. RNAcentral describes it as "bacterial SSU rRNA". It matches the Rfam family "Bacterial small subunit ribosomal RNA", at positions 32 to 409 of the family's 1533-position model. The record is from RNAcentral.